RNAcentral lists this transfer RNA (69 nucleotides) under Liposcelis decolor. RNAcentral's name for it is "tRNA-Pro". It matches the Rfam family "tRNA". From Rfam's summary of the family: Transfer RNA (tRNA) molecules are approximately 80 nucleotides in length. Their secondary structure includes four short double-helical elements and three loops (D, anti-codon, and T loops). The record is from RNAcentral. Lineage: Eukaryota; Metazoa; Arthropoda; Insecta; Psocodea; Liposcelididae.
CCAGAACAUAGUUUAUAAAAAUAUUAAAUUUGGAUUUUAAAGAUAGUGUUUAAACGCACUUGUUUUGGG